GUAAUAACAGUGAGAAGGAGUAGUAGUAAUAGAAGCUGGUUUAGAGAGUUGACGGUCGGUGCAAGUCAAUCCACGUUUCGUUAUGAACUCGCCUUUGAGUUGCAGUUGUGAAACUAAUAGUAGCAAUUGCCGUUAAUCCACGUUACGGAUCUAAGCGAAUGUAUAUUUUUUGUACAUUAAUUUAGGGUGGUACCGCGGGAAUCUAUAACCUCUCGUCCCUUUC
Molecule: non-coding RNA, 223 nt
Filed under: Bacillus anthracis (anthrax bacterium)
Lineage: Bacteria; Bacillati; Bacillota; Bacilli; Caryophanales; Bacillaceae
Description: T-box sequence
Rfam family: T-box leader
About the family: Uncharged tRNA acts as the effector for transcription antitermination of genes in the T-box leader family. T-boxes are found upstream of many aminoacyl-tRNA synthetase genes and some amino acid biosynthetic genes usually in Gram-positive bacteria. The anticodon of a specific tRNA base pairs to a specifier sequence within the T-box motif, and the NCCA acceptor tail of the tRNA base pairs to a conserved bulge in the T-box antiterminator hairpin.
Source: RNAcentral